UGCAGAGGUCUCAAGCGUUGUUCGGAUUCAUUGGGCGUAAAGGGUGCGUAGGUGGCGCCGUAAGUGGGGUGUGAAAUCUCGGGGCUUAACUCCGAAACUGCAUUCCAUACUGCGGUGCUCGAGGACUGGAGAGGAGACUGGAAUUCAUGGUGUAGCAGUGAAAUGCGUAGAGAUCAUGAGGAAGACCAGUGGCGAAGGCGGGUCUCUGGACAGUUCCUGACACUGAGGCACGAAGGCCAGGGGAGCAAACGGG
This 253-nucleotide ribosomal RNA is filed under the name uncultured bacterium. RNAcentral describes it as "partial 16S ribosomal RNA". It matches the Rfam family "Bacterial small subunit ribosomal RNA", at positions 524 to 776 of the family's 1533-position model. The record is from RNAcentral.